Molecule: ribosomal RNA, 440 nt
Filed under: uncultured bacterium
Lineage: Bacteria
Description: partial 16S ribosomal RNA
Rfam family: Bacterial small subunit ribosomal RNA
Source: RNAcentral
CCUACGGGAGGCAGCAGUGGGGAAUAUUGCACAAUGGGGGAAACUCUGAUGCAGCGACGCCGCGUGAGUGAAGAAGUAAUUCUUUAUGUAAAGCUCUAUCUGCAGGGAAGUAAAUGACGGUACCUGAGUAAGAAGCCCCGGCUAACUCCGUUCCAGCAGCCGCGGUUAUACGGAGGGGGCCAGCGUUAUCCGGAUUUACUGGGUGUAAAGGGAGCGUAGACGGUAGUGCAAGUCUGGAGUGAAAGGCGGGGGCUCAACCCCCGGACUGCACUGGAAACUGUACGGCUGGAGUGCAGGAGAGGUAAGUGGAAUUCCUAGUGUAGCGGUGAAAUGCGUAGAUAUUAGGAGGAACACCAGUGGCGAAGGCGGCUUACUGGACUGUAACUGACGUUGAGGCUCGAAAGCGUGGGGAGCAAACAGGAUUAGAUACCCUUGUAGUC